RNAcentral lists this ribosomal RNA (352 nucleotides) under Lancetes marginatus. RNAcentral's name for it is "partial 12S ribosomal RNA". The record is from RNAcentral. Lineage: Eukaryota; Metazoa; Arthropoda; Insecta; Coleoptera; Dytiscidae.
UUUAAAUGUAAAUAAAAAUAUCAAAUUAGUAUUAGUUAAGUUCUUUAAAUUUAAAAAUUUUGGCGGUAUUUUAGUCUAUUCAGAGGAACCUGUUCUAUAAUUGAUAAUCCACGAUUAACUAUACUUGUUUUUUUAAUUUGUAUAUCGUUGUUUAUAAAUAAUUUUAUAAGAAUAUAAAUUUUUAGAAUUUUUAAUUAAAAAAUAUAUCAGAUCAAGGUGCAGUUUAUAAAUAAGAAGAAAUGGGUUACAAUAAAUUUAUUUAAAUGGAUUAAUUUUUAAAAUAAAAUUAUGAAGGUGGAUUUGAUAGUAAUUAAAUUAAUUUAAAUUUAAUGAUUUUAGCUCUAAAAUAUGU